Oreochromis aureus is the source of this 479-nucleotide long non-coding RNA. NCBI's taxonomy places the organism in Eukaryota, Metazoa, Chordata, Actinopteri, Cichliformes, Cichlidae. The record is from Ensembl.
CAACUUUAACAUUAAAAGGUGUAAAAACAAGUACAAGAUAUUUACAAUAAGCAGACCUCAGUGCAAGAAAGUGUCUUUCCAACACUGAAAAGGUCAAAGGUCAACUUUAACAUUAAAAGGUGUAAAAACAAGUACAAGAUAUUUACAAUAAGCAGACCUCAGUGCAAGAAAGUGUCUUUCCAACACUGAAAAGCACAAAGGUCAACUUUAACAUUAAAAGGUGUAAAAACAAGUACAAGAUAUUGACAAUAAACAGACCUCAGUGCAAGAAAGUGUCUUUCCAACACUGAAAAGGUCAAAGGUCAACUUUAACAUUAAAAGGUGUAAAAACAAGUACAAGAUAUUUACAAUAAGCAGACCUCAGUGCAAGAAAGUGUCUUUCCAACACUGAAAAGGUCAAAGGUCAACUUUAACAUUAAAAGGUGUAAAAACAAGUACAAGAUAUUUACAAUAAACAGACCUCAGUGCAAGAAAGUGUC